RNAcentral lists this ribosomal RNA (263 nucleotides) under Triticum aestivum (bread wheat). RNAcentral's name for it is "partial small subunit ribosomal RNA". Lineage: Eukaryota; Viridiplantae; Streptophyta; Magnoliopsida; Poales; Poaceae. The record is from RNAcentral.
GACCUUCUAUCUCUGUCUCGUGUUUCGCAGCAGAAGAAGAGGAGCCGCCGCCGCCGCUUUCCGCUUGCUCGCUCCUUGGGAUUGGGAUUGGGAUUGGUCAAGGCUAGGCGUUCCGGACGCAGCUACCGCCGAAGGGAGGCGCGCCGCCGCUGCUCCUACGACGCGGGCCGCCACGAAGGUCCCCUCCCCGCAGCGGACGAGCAGGUGUGGGUCGUCCAUAGAAUAGGCCGAUCUAGACACCGGGCUGCAGACUAACAACGAGA